AGCGGCUCUGUGAGUCUUGUGUUUAUUCUCUCAAGUGGCUGAAGACACUCUGUUUCACAAGUUCAGAGAGUGUUUUUGUAGUGUUUGUUACAGGAAUUUGCUUUCACAGAAUCAACAUUGCAAGAAGGAAAUAGCAAAAAACUUGGAAAAGAAGAAAUGAGAGGAGAGAUGGUAAGAGGGAGACAGAGACAGCCAGUGAUGGAGUGAAAGAGAGAUGCCAGGAGUAAAUCUCUUCUCUCUGUUGAGGCAAUGUGAUCCCCUUCUCCGCUUGGCUGCUUUUGACUGGAACUCCUGUUCUUCCCUCCCAGAACAAUGCAGCGUACUCAUGUAUUUUUGUGUACACACCAGCGGGAAGCAGCACUGAGCAAGAAAGAUAUGCAGACAGGAAGCAGAGUGUUUACUCAACACAUUUUGAACAAACACAAAUAAACUUUUCUGAAGUGACAGGCACAGAUAGUCUCUGGCAUUCAUGCUGAGAGCCUUCUCAGAACACAUUAUACAGAAAUCACACAUAAA
Onychostoma macrolepis is the source of this 516-nucleotide long non-coding RNA. RefSeq lists it as uncharacterized. The record is from RefSeq and is a predicted model, not a curated record. The transcript has 3 exons. Lineage: Eukaryota; Metazoa; Chordata; Actinopteri; Cypriniformes; Cyprinidae.